Lathyrus oleraceus (garden pea) is the source of this 1111-nucleotide long non-coding RNA. RefSeq lists it as uncharacterized. The transcript has 4 exons. The record is from RefSeq and is a predicted model, not a curated record. NCBI's taxonomy places the organism in Eukaryota, Viridiplantae, Streptophyta, Magnoliopsida, Fabales, Fabaceae.
CAUGCGAGAGGUACGGGGAUCGAUACCCCGCAUCUCCAUUAUUUUUCAACGCAGCUUUUGUUUUUGUUUUCAUAAUUCGUGACACAAAACCCUAAUUUCUACUGCAAAUUUUCUUUUGAUUUUUUAUCAGUUUCAACCGGUGUUGGAAAUCCACGAAGGAUAUCAAUCAACAUUUCUAGGUAACACCUUGUACGCUCGCGCCACUCGAAGUUAAUUGUUUCUUUUGUUUUCUAUUCUCUAUUCCCAUCAACGAUUCUCGCAAUGGCAGAGGAAGAGUUUUUUAUACAAGAAAUGAUAGAGAAAGAAUAAGAGGGCGUGGUGGUGGCGGUGCGAGUGGCUCCGGAAAGGAUAAAAUUGAUGCUCUUGGUAGGCUCAUGUAAGCACUACUUGGCCCUUUAAUAGGUUUUUUGUUUACAUUAACAUUUUUUCUUCCUUUGUAGAUACAUAAUGCAAGUCUCACUUGUCUCUGUUCUUUUGUUUGUAAAAUGAUAAAGGGGAUAUUCUCUUUCUUUUCAUGUGUGGAAAGAAGUUUGUCAACCUGUCAUGCUUAAUUCUCUUACUAAGCAGUUUACUCAAAUUAUGCUUUUCGUCAUAUGGCAUCUGAAUUGAAAUUGGAUAUGAGGAGUUGAUUUGCUAAAGCUGAAUUUGAAGACACUUGCUAAUAUUCCUCUGCAAUCCCACACUAUUGAUGACAUUAGGGAGUGUUAUCAAAUUGCAGCCAUGGCGGCGCUGUGGCGGAUAUACAUGGCUGUUUUUGGACUCACCGCAAAGGUAAAUAUCAGCCAAUAUUGCAGGUUUUUCCGCGAUAAUUCGUAUACCGGCACCGCAAAGCUGAAAUACCAUAUAUCUGUUGCCAGAGAUCAGAUAUUGCAGCUUGAAUAUACUCUAUAUUAUUUUGCAUAAUGCAAUUAAUUCUAAAAGAACUUUACCAACAGAAGAAAAAGUAAUAAGUGGUAAUGUGAUAUUGUUGUUGAAAAAAGUCCCAUUUACAUAUCGAAUGGUUUAAAUCUGGAUAUAUUUUGUUAAAAUAUGGUUAGGCAAGUUGAUUUACUUUCUUGAAUAUUAUGGAUACUGCCCUGUGACGCACCUAACUACUUUCUUUUUUGAUCUA